CGUCCAAGUCAAUUGCCAGCGCGGAAAGAAUCAAGCCACCGAAGACACGGAAACACGAGUGUGUGUAAUGCUCUGCAAUCAUUGAUGCGUGAGGAAUCCAUUUAAAAACAGCCUCACGUUACGCUGUCUGUUGUCUGGCUCCUGCUGUUUGGCUCUCUCCUUACUUCAUCUUUAUGGAUUACCGGCUGGCGCCUGAUGCUUCCUGCCACUC
Long non-coding RNA from Eleginops maclovinus (Patagonian blennie), 211 nucleotides. RefSeq lists it as uncharacterized. The record is from RefSeq and is a predicted model, not a curated record. NCBI's taxonomy places the organism in Eukaryota, Metazoa, Chordata, Actinopteri, Perciformes, Eleginopidae. The transcript is spliced from 3 exons.